This 73-nucleotide transfer RNA is filed under the name Pleuronectes platessa (European plaice). RNAcentral describes it as "tRNA-Ala". The record is from RNAcentral. Lineage: Eukaryota; Metazoa; Chordata; Actinopteri; Pleuronectiformes; Pleuronectidae.
GGCAAUGUGGCGUAGUCGGUAGAGCGUAGGUUUGCCACCAAAAAGGAUCCGGGUUCGAGUCCCACCUUUUCCA